GGCAUUGUGGCCGAACGGGAAGGCGAAACUCCUGCAAGGGUUUUAUAGUGGUUCGAAUCCAUUCGAUGCCU
RNAcentral lists this transfer RNA (71 nucleotides) under Maribacter flavus. Its description in RNAcentral is "tRNA-Cys". It matches the Rfam family "tRNA". Rfam says of the family: Transfer RNA (tRNA) molecules are approximately 80 nucleotides in length. Their secondary structure includes four short double-helical elements and three loops (D, anti-codon, and T loops). Lineage: Bacteria; Pseudomonadati; Bacteroidota; Flavobacteriia; Flavobacteriales; Flavobacteriaceae. The record is from RNAcentral. RNAcentral also lists the same sequence under 1 other name.